CGAACGUUAGCGGCGCGCUUAACACAUGCAAGUCGCACGAGAAAGGGCUUCGGCCCGGUAAAGUGGCGCACGGGUGCGUAACACGUGGAUAAUCUUCCCUCAGGCGGGGGAUAACGUUUCGAAAGAGACGCUAAUACCGCAUGAGACCACGGUGACUUCGGUCGCUGCGGUCAAAGCUGGCCUCUUCAUGAAAGCCAGCACCUGAGGACGAGUCUGCGGCCCAUCAGCUAGUUGGCAGUGUAAAAGACUACCAAGGCGAAGACGGGUAGCUGGUCUGAGAGGAUGAUCAGCCACACUGGCACUGAAACACGGGCCAGACUCCUACGGGAGGCAGCAGUGGGGAAUAUUGGACAAUGGGCGCAAGCCUGAUCCAGCGACGCCGCGUGAGUGAUGAAGGCCUUCGGGUUGUAAAGCUCUGUUGAGAGGGAAGAAAACGUCCGGCGCGAAUAGCUCCGGACCUUGACGGUACCUCUUUAGAAAGCACCGGCUAACUCUGUG
RNAcentral lists this ribosomal RNA (498 nucleotides) under uncultured Polyangiaceae bacterium. RNAcentral describes it as "bacterial SSU rRNA". It matches the Rfam family "Bacterial small subunit ribosomal RNA", at positions 30 to 507 of the family's 1533-position model. The record is from RNAcentral. Lineage: Bacteria; Pseudomonadati; Myxococcota; Polyangiales; Polyangiaceae.